AUUGAACGCUGGCGGCAUGCCUUACACAUGCAAGUCGAACGGCAGCACGGGAGCAAUCCUGGUGGCGAGUGGCGAACGGGUGAGUAAUACAUCGGAACGUGCCCAGUAGUGGUGGAUAACCCGGCGAAAGCCGGACUAAUACCGCAUACGACCUACGGGUGAAAGCGGGUGAUCGCAAGACCUCGCGCUAUCGGAGCGGCCGAUGUCGGAUUAGCUAGUUGGUGGGGUAAAGGCCUACCAAGGCGACGAUCUGUAGCUGGUCUGAGAGGACGACCAGCCACACUGGGACUGAGACACGGCCCAGACUCCUACGGGAGGCAGCAGUGGGGAAUGUUGGACAAUGGGCGCGAGCCUGAUCCAGCCAUGCCGCGUGCGGGAAGAAGGCCUUCGGGUUGUAAACAGCUUUUGUCAGGGAAGAAACGCUCCGGGCUAAUACCACGGAGUAAUGACGGUACCUGAAGAAUAAGCACCGGCUAACUACGUG
This 484-nucleotide ribosomal RNA is filed under the name uncultured bacterium. Its description in RNAcentral is "partial 16S ribosomal RNA". It matches the Rfam family "Bacterial small subunit ribosomal RNA", at positions 29 to 507 of the family's 1533-position model. The record is from RNAcentral.